GAGUUUGAUCUUGGCUCAGAUUGAACGCUGGCGGCAUGCCUUACACAUGCAAGUCGAACGGCAGCACGGGAGCUUGCUCCUGGUGGCGAGUGGCGAACGGGUGAGUAAUGCAUCGGAACGUAUCCUGGAGUGGGGGAUAACGUAGCGAAAGUUACGCUAAUACCGCAUAUUCUGUGAGCAGGAAAGCGGGGGACCUUCGGGCCUCGCGCUCUCGGAGCGGCCGAUGUCGGAUUAGCUAGUUGGUGAGGUAAAGGCUCACCAAGGCGACGAUCCGUAGCAGGUCUGAGAGGAUGAUCUGCCACACUGGAACUGAGACACGGUCCAGACUCCUACGGGAGGCAGCAGUGGGGAAUUUUGGACAAUGGGGGCAACCCUGAUCCAGCCAUGCCGCGUGAGUGAAGAAGGCC
RNAcentral lists this ribosomal RNA (407 nucleotides) under bacterium enrichment culture clone ALO1_GLFRUDD03HI5BB. Its description in RNAcentral is "bacterial SSU rRNA". It matches the Rfam family "Bacterial small subunit ribosomal RNA", at positions 9 to 416 of the family's 1533-position model. The record is from RNAcentral.